GCUAUUUUGACAGAUUUAUGUGUUGAUUUUAGAGUUCAUUUAAAUAUAAUUUUUAUUAUAUAAAUAGUA
Molecule: transfer RNA, 69 nt
Filed under: Stigmella roborella
Lineage: Eukaryota; Metazoa; Arthropoda; Insecta; Lepidoptera; Nepticulidae
Description: tRNA-Leu
Source: RNAcentral